RNAcentral lists this ribosomal RNA (466 nucleotides) under uncultured bacterium. Its description in RNAcentral is "partial 16S ribosomal RNA". It matches the Rfam family "Bacterial small subunit ribosomal RNA", at positions 28 to 507 of the family's 1533-position model. The record is from RNAcentral.
GAUGAACGCUGGCGGCGUGCUUAACACAUGCAAGUCGAACGGAAAGGCUCCUGCUUGCAGGGGUACUCGAGUGGCGAACGGGUGAGUAACACGUGGGUGAUCUGCCCUGCACUUCGGGAUAAGCCUGGGAAACUGGGUCUAAUACCGGAUAGGACGAUGGUUUGGAUGCCAUUGUGGAAAGUUUUUUCGGUGUGGGAUGAGCUCGCGGCCUAUCAGCUUGUUGGUGGGGUAAUGGCCUACCAAGGCGUCGACGGGUAGCCGGCCUGAGAGGGUGUACGGCCCCAAUGGGACUGAGGAUCCGGCCCGGCUCCUUCGGGAGGGAGGAGUUGGGGAUAAUUGCCCAAGGGGGGAAGCCUUGAGCAGGCGCGGCGGGUGGGGGAUGACGGCCUUCGGGUUGUAAACUCCUUUCGCUAGGGACGAAGCGCAAGUGACGGUACCUGGAGAAGAAGCACCGGCUAACUACGUG